RNAcentral lists this transfer RNA (88 nucleotides) under Nitrososphaerota archaeon. RNAcentral describes it as "Thaumarchaeota archaeon tRNA-Lys". It matches the Rfam family "tRNA". Rfam says of the family: Transfer RNA (tRNA) molecules are approximately 80 nucleotides in length. Their secondary structure includes four short double-helical elements and three loops (D, anti-codon, and T loops). The record is from RNAcentral. Lineage: Archaea; Thermoproteati; Nitrososphaerota. RNAcentral also lists the same sequence under 1 other name.
GGGUCGGUAGCUCAGCCAGGAAGAGCAUCGGGCUUUUAACCCGAGGGUCAGGUUUUCCCCCAGGCGGGUUCAAUUCCCGUCCGACCCG